This 72-nucleotide transfer RNA is filed under the name Conexibacter sp. W3-3-2. RNAcentral describes it as "tRNA-Asn". It matches the Rfam family "tRNA". Rfam says of the family: Transfer RNA (tRNA) molecules are approximately 80 nucleotides in length. Their secondary structure includes four short double-helical elements and three loops (D, anti-codon, and T loops). The record is from RNAcentral. Lineage: Bacteria; Bacillati; Actinomycetota; Thermoleophilia; Solirubrobacterales; Conexibacteraceae.
UCGGGGGUAAUUCAAUCGGCAGAAUGCUCGGCUGUUAACCGAGUCGUUGUGGGUUCGAGUCCCACCCCCGAG